This is a long non-coding RNA of Triticum aestivum (bread wheat), 743 nucleotides long. RefSeq lists it as uncharacterized. NCBI's taxonomy places the organism in Eukaryota, Viridiplantae, Streptophyta, Magnoliopsida, Poales, Poaceae. The record is from RefSeq and is a predicted model, not a curated record. The transcript has 3 exons.
UGACACACCACCCCCUUCUCUCCCCCCUUACCUUCUCCUCAUCAGCGACCUCCUUCCCUCCCCCUCGCCCCAGAUCAAAGAAUAGGCCCGGAUGCGACGCGGGCUCAGAUCCAGCACGCCCACAACACUGCUUUUGCUAGAGGACGCCAUGGAAAAGGUGCUCUGGCCCUGGUACUGCAGCCAUGGAGAGGUGCCCUCCCAUCUUUAUGUGCGUGUUUGUUGGAUGGUGAGAAAAGAUAACUGGAUCAAGAGCUACUUCGAUGCCAUCCUCGACAUCGGCAAGUCAGCCGAUGGUGGCGUAUAGGACCAAGGAGAGGAGCAGCGGGCCAGGAGGUCUGACCCUCCCCUAUGCCCCCAUGGCCAUGUGGUCGUUAACAAUCAGAAAUCUCGAGGUCGCGGCAGAAUAUGUUUUGCAAAAUGCAUCAGAUAGAGCCCUCAAAGAUAAGGACAAUAAUGCUCAAGGAUUUGUUGUGGGUUCUGCAACCUAUUUAUCUUCUGCUUUUCAAUUAUAUUUUCUGCCAUUUACUUUUAGACUCAUUCUCAUUCUCUAUCUAAAUAUGUAGGGGCAAUGAAAUCAUAUUUGUUCUCUGGGGUUAUUGUGUGGAUGAAUUUGAUGUUGAGAAUGUCCGUUUUGUUGGCGAAAAGGCCCCAGUUAUUGGGAUAUUUCUUUUUUUUAACACAAUUAUUGGGAUAUUUCUGAGCACACUGCCAAUACACUUUCAAGGUCCUUAUUUUAACCAUGA